Molecule: non-coding RNA, 5535 nt
Organism: Oryza sativa Japonica Group (Japanese rice)
Lineage: Eukaryota; Viridiplantae; Streptophyta; Magnoliopsida; Poales; Poaceae
Source: RefSeq, a predicted model, not a curated record
UUCCUUUUUCUAAUUUGCCUUGUGGGAAGUCCAGCCGGGCACCGGCGGGGCGCCGCCUGGAUCCCGAAACCGAAGCAUGCGGCCUCUCCCGCCGGCCGUGGCGGCGCGCCUCGCCGCCGUCCGCGCCGACCCAGCCGCCGUCCCGCUCCCGUUCUUCAACUCCCUCCUCUCCGCGCUCGCCUCCUCCCACGCCCACCUCCCGCUCCACCUCUUCCGCCGCCUCCUCCUCCCGCGCCGCCGCCCCGACGCCUUCACGCUCUCCUCCCUCGCCGCCUCUCUCCUCCCGCCGGCCCACUCUCCCUCCGCCUCCGUCACCGCCGCCGCCGCCGCCGCCGGGUGCCUCCACGCCUUCUCCCUCCGCCUCGGCCUCCUCCGCGCCGACCCCGUCCUCGCCAACUCCUUCCUCCUCCUCUACCUCCGCGCCGCGUCGCCAGGCCUCGCGCGCAGGCUGUUCGACGAAAUGCCCGCGCGCACCGCCUCCACCUACAACACCCUCAUCUCGCACUCGCCCCCGGGUGUCGACGUCUGGCCCGUCGUGCGGCACAUGGUCGAGGACGGGUGCGUGCCGGACCGGUUCACGGUCUCGUCGAUCCUGCCAGCGUGCGAGUCCGAACUCCGGGGCAGGGAGCUUCAUUGCUUCGCUCUGAAGAGUGGGAUGUGCGGGGCAGGCGAUUUCCAUGUUGGGAGCAGCCUCGUGUCAAUGUACUUCAGGGUUGGCCAACCAGGACAUGCACGCCGGGUUUUCGAUGGGAUGGAGCAGAGGAAUGUGGUUUCUUGGACUGCAAUGGUUGGAGGGUUCACAGAGAGCGGGAUGUUUGAGGAUGCCGUGGAUGCUUUCCGGGCAAUGUGGGUGAUCGGUGCUGUUCUGCCAAACAGGAUUGCGCUGAUUAGUGUGCUCUCAGCUGUGGAGGCCCUCACAGAUUUGGCUGCUGGGAAACAGGUGCAUGGCUUUGCGGUCAGGAUGGGAUUGUCUGGGGAAGUAUCCCUGAACAAUGCUUUGAUUGUUAUGUACGUCAAAUGCGGGGUCUUGUGGUAUGCACGGCAGAUCUUUGAUGAUGGUAGAUGGUGCAAAGAUGUGAUCUCGUGGUGUUCGAUGAUUCAGGGGUAUGGCCUUCAUGGGAAGGGUGCAGAAGCAGUUGCCCUGUUUGAUCAGAUGCAUAUUUCUGGGGUUAAGCCAGACAGCAUAACUGGCUUGGGUGUGCUUUCAGCUUGUUCUAGGGCAGGGUUGGUUUUUAAGGGCCUUGAGAUAUACAACUCUCUGGUGAAGGAUUAUGGAGUUCAUCCAACUGAGGAGAUGUCUGCUUGCAUAGUUGAUUUACUUGGUCGAUCGGGGAUGAUUAAUCAGGCCUUGGACUUUAUAAAGUCAAUGAGUAUAGAGCCAGGCCCUAGUGUCUGGGGAGCACUUCUGGAUGCCUCCAUUGUUCACAAUAACAAAGAAAUUCAAGAUUUGUCCUGCAGAUACCUUCUUAGACUGGAAGAAGGGAACCCAUCUAAUCUUGUCUCAGUAUCUAAUCUGCAUGCCUUUGAUGGAAGCUGGAAUAUUGUCGAACAUGUGAGGGCUAAGAUUAAACAAGGGGCAUUGAAGAAGAUCCCUGGUUUUAGUUGGAUAAAUCCAACAUAAUGAGGGGCUUCAUUUUCAUUCAUCAUAUGAAGGAGCAUAAUCCUUAGCAACGCAGUUACAGAGGAAACCAAGCACCAGCUCCCACAGGCAGGCCUGCCUACAUCCAGACACCUACAAACCGCGUGUUGAAGUGAUGAAAUGAUAAUGCAUAGCGGUCCAUGAUUGAAAACCAAUCGGGGUUCAUUGAAUAGAGAAACCCUGCUCUGUCAUAUGAGGAAGUUGCUUCGACGCUUACAUGAUCAGUGUACAGUGAUCGUGGCUUUCAAAUUGUGACAGAAUUGAGUGGUACAAAACAGAUAAAUCCCUGUGUACACAUUAAGCUUGAUUGCAUAGGUGAUGCAACAGCAGGUAUGACAUCCAGAGGCUUUCUCUAUUUCUACUGCAAAACUUGUCCUGAUUCUUGCAUUUAAAACUUGUGGUCUAUUGUUGUAACAUUUUGCUGAGAUGUACAGAUCUUUGUUGUCAUAAUUCUGUGAUUAUUAUUCUGGUCUAUGGAAUGCCAUUUGGCUUGUUCAUCAGUGCUGGUUAAUUUGUAUCUGUUAUUAAUCUGUGAUUAUUGUUCUGGUCUAUGUUAUGCGCUAUAAUCUGUAUCUCUCAAGAAAUUGUUCACAAUUAUGCUUUCUUAGUUAUAUUUAGAACAUGGUCAAAAUACGUUUUCUUGUUUUGGCUUGUUAGGUUGCUAUCAGUAGUUGGUGAACAAUAACAGCCUUUUCAUCUUAUCUUUUCACUGUUUGUGAAUGUGCUUGGUAUUUACUUGCGAUCCAUUUUCAUAUGGUUCUUGCAGUUGAGUGAUGCUUAUAGAAAUAGUUACCAUUGGAGGAGCAUUUGUAGUGAUCAAUGUUGGUUGAUAAUGCUGGGACAUGAAUUGACAGUAAAUCUCUGUUGUUUCUGUAAAGAUUGCUGGAUAUAUUUGUAUAGUAAUGCAUUUGUUCAAGACUUUGUUCAUAUCCGGUUUCUUGAUAUGUCAAUUUCAUUAUUUUCUGUUCAGUUGCCAUCACCCAUCUAUCAUUAUACAAGAUAUGAUGGGCAAAUUAUAACCAGCCAUUCAGUAUCAUAACAUUACGUAAUCAUUCCCCAUACUGUAUCCAGAUGGAGGUCGGUACUAGACUAACACUUGCUCUGAACAAUACUGUAAUACAUGUAUUGAAUUUGACCCAUUAUUUAUUCGUAUGUUUUGUCAUGCUAACCUCUAUGAUGGGUGUUAUGAAAGGUAUUUAGAAUGGUAGACGGGGCUUUUCUUGGCAUUAUAACCCUUGAGUAGAAAGCUUUAUUUUAGCAUCCAAACGAGAUAAGAUGGCCACCAUUUUAUUGGCAUGAACUUGCAGUAGGUGUUGUGGUAAUUUUGCAUGCUUUUGUUGCUAUGGUAAGAGGAAAGCAUAAAUGAUGGUGUUAUGAAAUCUGCAUUUGUGUAUGUUGCUGUGUUCUACUUGUGGCUUGAACCAAGUGUUGUGCUAUGUUAAUGUGUUCCUGAUGAUGAGAGCAAACAAUGUAUGUAGCAUAUUUCCAUGACAUCAUGGAGUGACAAUUUAUAUUUCCCCUUGUUUUUGCUACUUCAAUUUUUAAUCAUUUGUUCCAUUGUUUCAUGUUUUAGUUCUUUCUGAUUAAAAUAUUUGUUCUUACCAGCUUGUUUGGCUAACUUUUCAGUAAUCUUUGAUGCCCAGACAGAUGUGAGAGUGGAAACAGGAAGUCAGAUGGCCAUGUGAUAUCAAGAGGAAAGCUGGAUACAUAUACACAGUGCCCUUUCUUUGGACUGGCUUGCUCUACUCAAAGGAGGUAAUUUCGCACAAAAGGCAACAGCAGAGAUGGUUCACAUCAGAGCACUGAUAACCAGCCAAUCAUGAAGUUGUACCUUGUGCUAUUGAGCCCCGUCUGCCCAUGAAGAACUCACGUGGAUGGGAUCCACCGCGCCACUGUUGGAUCCAAAAGUACGCACUUGAGCAAGAAGUAAGUAUCCUGGCGGCCGGGCCAGCUGGAGGACCGCCGGCGGCACCACAGCACCGAGGCCAGCCAGCCGGCGGCACAGUUGCUCCGGGCGCGGCGCGAUUCCACUGCACGGCCAAGGCCGGGCAGCGCCGCGCCUCGGGCGCCAUGUCGGAGGGUGGGAUCAUGUGGCUGUCACAUGGGCAAGGCUAGCAGAGCUGGCAAACGGCGAGGCCCCCGUCGGCACCUUUGGGCUCUCCUUCGGGACAGCGACGGUAGCUGCUGGGGCCGGGAUCCCCAUUUAUUCCUUCUGGCGUGGCCCCGCGGGCUGGGCGGGGCGGGCGCGUCGCCCUCUUGGGACGUCGCUCUCGCGGCCAGUGAGAUCGCUGGAAUGGGACACAGAGGCUGGAAAAAACAGGAUGGAGGGAAGGAUGGAAGGAUCAUUUCAUUUUCUGUCAUCCUGUUCUGGUGCCCGUAGCACCCCCGCCAUGAUUGCGCGUUGUUGGAUACUCGGAUUGGCUGCCUGUCCGUACGUGAUUGGCACCACCCUACUGCGCCUCCAUCUAGCCAUGGAUGGUGGCAGUAACUCAGGUCUCAUAUUGCUCAGGAAGCUAAUGUUGCGAUGGUGGCUAUGUAUAUCAAGACUCUCAAGUUCAACCCAAAACACGAAAAUCUCACUAGAGUAAGCUAUACCAUCGCUGGACCUUAACCGAGUGGGCUGUUCGUCGUCGUGUGGAUGACAGUUAAGAUGACACAGCAUGCCGCGUGCGUGUGUGCAUGCACCAGCUUUGGGAUGAUCAGUGAGAAGGAAUGUUUGAAAGCUGAAGUUGGGGACUAAUCCUGUUGGAGCACCUGGCAUGUUGCAUCAUCAUUUGACAGUUACGGCCCUGCUGAAUGAGGUUGAUGCUUUCACCGAUUUGGACCACAUGGGAGAGCGAGCGAGCGUGUCUCCCGAAGCUUACACCGUGAAAUUCUCCGAUACAGCUCAGACCAGACCUGCUGAUCCCCCUCCUACACCAUAAUGUCAAGACAUACUCACAUACAUACGUACGUCCCACUUUGGCUGCAUACAUUCAUACUACGUGGGCACCUGUCGUGUAUAAGUAUAAGCAGGCAAUUAGAAUGCUGCUGAUCAUUCAUCAUCUAAUGAAGCUGGGCACUAUAAGGCUGAUAUUGGAGGGCACCCGUCGUCCCUGUCACGUGUACGGACACGUGCACGUGGCACGUUGAUUUUUGGGGUUCAAAGUACGAUACAAUGGGCAUACUAUAGCUUGUCCUAACAGUCGAUGGGGGAACCUUGUGCAGUUGCUGACAGCGGACGGGGGCUGGCUGAUGAUAAUCGUGUGCUGCAGUGUGCAAGUCGACAGAGGCUUCUGACGUAUCCAGUUGCCGAAUUGAAAAGGCCACGUACAUCGAUACAGAUACAGCUAAGGCAUUAUCGAUGCUCUGCAAAAUCAAAUAUAUUCAUUCCCCUUCCAGUGGCCACGCUCUUCUACACCUCUGGACAAGUUUAAGAAGCCGGCGAGGAAGAAGAAAUAUUGGAGGGCAAUUGUUCUUUUGUGCUGGCCACAACGACCAGCUGCUAGUGAAAACUCAACUGUCUGCAGGGGAUAAGAAGAUGAAGCUCUGGACACAUACAAGAUAAAAAAUGAAACUUAAUGGUCUGCAGGGGAUCAAACAUAUCAUAGGAGCAUGGAAGGAAUGAGUGAAAACUCGGAUGUAAGGUAUUAUCUCUUUAAACACAGGGAAGGUUUCAAAGUUUUAAUGAAUAGCUUUAUCUGAUAUUUGUAUAUAACUUGAUUGAUUUUUUUUCCUUUAAAGUUGCAUCCCACUAGGUAGAGUAUAUGUCUGGUAUUGUGAUCAAAAUGUUAUAUAAUGCCAAAAGUAAAAAAAAAAUGUUUAUAUUUCUUUCAGCAAUCAACUUUGUAUGUCUUGCAUUUAUUGAGGACGCAGAUAAUGAUGGUAAUUGAUUAACAUUUGGAGUUAUGCAAAAA